GUAUGCCUUGGUGGCAAAAGACCUAGGUGGUCAUUUAUAUAUACCUUGGUGGCAAUAGACCUAGGUGGUCAUUUUUAUAUGCCUUGGUGGCAAUAGACCUAGGUGGUCAUUUUUAUGAUUUUUUACAUUUGCCUUGAUGGCAACAAUGAAUUAAAAAUACUAGCCUUGGGGGCGUCAAGACCUUGGUGGUCAUUUAUAUUCGCCUUGGCGGCUUCUUGAUAGAACUAGAUGGUAAUGUUUGACCUUGGUGGCAAAAUGUUUUGGGAUUUAGACUUUAGGUAUUUGUUAUCAACCAGGUGGUCAGAUAUUUGUUAUGCCGUGCGCCGGUUAAACGCAGGGUAAAGUGCUAUCGCUAUAUAAAAUAUAUGUGGAAGUUGGGGC
RNAcentral lists this long non-coding RNA (381 nucleotides) under Mytilus galloprovincialis (Mediterranean mussel). The record is from RNAcentral. Lineage: Eukaryota; Metazoa; Mollusca; Bivalvia; Mytilida; Mytilidae.